GUUAAAGGUUUAUUGCCUUGGGAUAGGCUUGCGUCUGAUUAGCUAGUUGGUGUGGUAACGGGCACACCAAGGCUACGAUCAGUAGCUGGUCUGAGAGGAUGAUCAGCCACACUGGGACUGAGACACGGCCCAGACUCCUACGGGAGGCAGCAGUGGGGAAUAUUGGACAAUGGGCGCAAGCCUGAUCCAGCAAUGCCGCGUGUGUGAAGAAGGCCUGCGGGUUGUAAAGCACUUUCAGUGGGGAAGAACAGGUUCGGGUCAAUACCCCGGAGCCCUGACGUUACCCACAGAAGAAGCACCGGCUAACUCCGUG
Molecule: ribosomal RNA, 313 nt
Filed under: uncultured bacterium
Lineage: Bacteria
Description: bacterial SSU rRNA
Rfam family: Bacterial small subunit ribosomal RNA
Source: RNAcentral